GACGAACGCUGGCGGCGUGCUUAACACAUGCAAGUCGAACGGAAAGGCCCUGCUUUUGUGGGGUGCUCGAGUGGCGAACGGGUGAGUAACACGUGAGUAACCUGCCCUUGACUUUGGGAUAACUUCAGGAAACUGGGGCUAAUACCGGAUAGGAGCUCCUGCUGCAUGGUGGGGUUGGAAAGUUUCGGCGGUUGGGGAUGGACUCGCGGCUUAUCAGCUUGUUGGUGGGGUAGUGGCUUACCAAGGCUUUGACGGGUAGCCGGCCUGAGAGGGUGACCGGCCACAUUGGGACUGAGAUACGGCCCAGACUCCUACGGGAGGCAGCAGUGGGAAUAUUGCACAAUGGGCGGAAGCCUGAUGCAGCAACGCCGCGUGCGGGAUGACGGCCU
RNAcentral lists this ribosomal RNA (389 nucleotides) under uncultured bacterium. RNAcentral's name for it is "bacterial SSU rRNA". It matches the Rfam family "Bacterial small subunit ribosomal RNA", at positions 28 to 417 of the family's 1533-position model. The record is from RNAcentral.